This 255-nucleotide ribosomal RNA is filed under the name uncultured bacterium. Its description in RNAcentral is "partial 16S ribosomal RNA". It matches the Rfam family "Bacterial small subunit ribosomal RNA", at positions 98 to 354 of the family's 1533-position model. The record is from RNAcentral.
CGGGACGGGUGAGUAACGCGUGGAGAACCUGCCGUAUACUGGGGGAUAACACUUAGAAAUAGGUGCUAAUACCGCAUAAGCGCACAGCUUCGCAUGAAGCAGUGUGAAAAACUCCGGUGGUAUACGAUGGAUCCGCGUCUGAUUAGCUGUUGGCGGGGUAAAGGCCCACCAAGGCGACGAUCAGUAGCCGGCCUGAGAGGGUGAACGGCCACAUUGGGACUGAGACACGGCCCAAACUCCUACGGAAGGCAGCAG